CCCAUUUAAAAACUCAGUCACAAAACCAAUUUUUCCUGUUCUGUAAAAAAGCCUUUGGGAACCCUAUUUCAUGAAAAUAUUUAAAAAAAUACGUGUAUAUAUAUGUUUCCCAAGAUGAGAAAAUUUCCAAAGAAUUUACCCUGGGAAUAACUUGGAAAUAUAGCUACUAAAGCUUGUUAAAGCCAUGCCAGGUAGGGAAGAGCCAGUAAUAACUUUUCAGCCCUGGUUUCUCAUGUCCCACUGAGCAAACAUUUCAAGACAGCCAGUAUCAGAAGAUUAGAAUUAUUUUCUGAAAGAGGUGCGUUCAUUUAUCAGCUGGGUUGCACAUAUGACCCAGUGUUCUUUAAGGAAUUAGGGUACAUGUAGGAAGCUAAGAAAUCUCACCUUUACUCAUUUGAACAAGUACCUAGCUGAAUUUCCUUGCUAUCUGUCUGCACAAGCUCUCUAUGUAUUUUUAAGCAUCUGAAAUUCACUCAUCAACAGAAUAAGGUACAAUCCUGCUCAGGAGUUGAACCUGUUAUUCAAUGAUUCUAUGACUGAGCUAUAUAACAGUUCUAACACUCUGAAGUGUUUGAGCCCUCUUUAUUUCUUGCUCUUAGCAAUUUGGGCUGCAUAAUACCUACAUUUCUUCUAGAUAUUAAGAGUGCAAACCCAAGUUUGUGUCUCAUUGUAACACCAUGUGAGGUUGUGGUUCUGGUGCUGAAGUAUGCAUAAUAUGUGCACUUGUAGAAGAUUUAGGUGAACAUACAUCAUGAUUUAUACCUCCCCAGAGAUAUCUGAUGCUGCAUCAUUGUUGUGGGAGAAGAGCACUACUUGCUUAGAAAGACAGGUACAGCAACCUCCACCGCUCCUUUGCUUCUGCAUUUCAGAGGUCCUCCAGCUAUUCCAAGAAUCCCACUGCAAGAUGCACAGAUGACCUGCAAGAAUGAGGAGGAUUUUCACCAAGAAUUCAAGCAUCUGGCUAUGGCAGGGUUUCCCAUGGCUGACCAGAAAUCUAAUUCAAAGUGACAAGAACAAGGGCUAUCCUCAUGACUGGAUGAAACCUUCUUUCCCACCCACACCUUCACAAGACUUUCCUCAUACUUCCCUUUCACUAGAAGCCAGGCAGUUUACCUAAACACAAGAUCUCCUCUGCAGUUGUCUUUGUUGUUGAAGGUACAACCCAAACCUCCACAACUGAGGGGGUCCACCAUAUCCUCUGGGCUACUGAAGAUAAUCCCAUGUGAGAGCCCAGAACUAGGAAGUGAAGAAAGUCUGUUAUGAUGCACAGCUGGUACCACACUGCAAUUUCACUGAAUUUCACUGUCAAAUAUUCACUUUUUUUUUUUUUUUUUUUUUAAACAGGCAAAGGUCUUUGUUUUCCAAAGAAAAUGUCAAUUAUAACAAUGUAGAGAAGAAUCUCCACUUUCUGAUAAGCAUAAUGGUAAUUAGGACCACAUACCACAGAAGCCCUAAAGAAAGGACAAGAUGUCCCUCCUCACUUUUGAAGUAUUUUAGAUCCAUGACACAUUUCUACAAGUAGUAAUGGUGAAAUAUAAAUUACUUUGGUUGAAAAUAGGUCAAUAUGCCACUGAUGUUGCUAGUCUGUCUUUUGUUGGUGGUAAAGACAUUCUUGAUUUUCCUUAAUGUUACUUUAUGAGAGAUAAUAUACAGAAAUCAGAAGUACUGCUGUAAUUGCUGGUUACCAUACCACCAGCAAGGUACCUCUGAAGAGAUAUAUUAAACAACCUCUUUUUAACAACCUCUUUUUUUUUUUUUUUCUUCCCAAGGGUAAUGUAGUUGAAAACAACUUUCUAUAUAUCAGAUGUUGACUCUUGUGGGAUUAUGGCUAGCAGUGAUAGAUUUUAACAUUCAGUGGGCCAAACUGAGAAUUUAUGCUGGUGAAUUUAUACUGUGAAGAUUCAAAGAAGUGAGACAUUACUCACUCUUAGUUUGGCCCCAUAAUAUUAGACUAUUA
This 1957-nucleotide long non-coding RNA is filed under the name Anas platyrhynchos platyrhynchos (common mallard). RNAcentral's name for it is "lncRNA (ENSAPLG00000023476.1)". Lineage: Eukaryota; Metazoa; Chordata; Aves; Anseriformes; Anatidae. The record is from RNAcentral.